This is a long non-coding RNA of Centruroides sculpturatus (bark scorpion), 408 nucleotides long. RefSeq lists it as uncharacterized. The transcript has 2 exons. The record is from RefSeq and is a predicted model, not a curated record. NCBI's taxonomy places the organism in Eukaryota, Metazoa, Arthropoda, Arachnida, Scorpiones, Buthidae.
UGUCGUUGCUCGUAUAAAGGGUGAGCGGGUCUAUUGUCUUCCUGGUAGAUUUAUAGGAAACAAAGAAAGAAAGAAAGAUUGUCUUCCUGGUGUACUCGUGAAAAUUACAUCGUGGCAGAAUGAUGAUAACUUUCAUUACAGUGGCAAAUGACAUGUUAAAGUACGUCUAUAGAAGAUUUUUUGAGAAGCACAUAGGAGAGUUAGUAGAUUUGCAAAUUAAAACAAAUCCGAUCGAAAUGUUCCUCAAUAGCGAUUUGGACGAGUAUCUGGGAACUCAGAUGAUGAAGAUGUUCUUCUGGGACGAUGACAAUGAUCAACCCGAAUAUUAUAAUAAUUGAUAAUAUGCCACUGAAUUAAUUCCGAAAUGUAGUGUCUUCUACAAUAAAUGUUAUAGAAAUGAAAAAAAAA